Non-coding RNA from Physcomitrium patens, 2101 nucleotides. The record is from RefSeq and is a predicted model, not a curated record. NCBI's taxonomy places the organism in Eukaryota, Viridiplantae, Streptophyta, Bryopsida, Funariales, Funariaceae.
CUCCAGCAGAUACCAGACACCUUGUCAAAGUCUUCACUUGUGGGUGAUUUGUUAAGAAGUUAAAGAACUCCAAUCAUGCUGCUGCUUUUGUGUCAUCAGAGAAGUCUAGAGGUCAAUUCCACAAGUUUUUGACUAUCUACUGUUGCGCCUGGUGUGUUGCUGAAUCUGCUGAGCUCGUUGAGACCUCUGCUGCACCAAAUCAGUCUUGCUCUUUGCCUUGCCACCGAGGUCACAUCCAUCGACUUCCUUCUUUUUAUUUUCUCUGUUGUGAUUGUUCCUGGUUGCCUACUCUGCUGCCCCUCUUGAGCUGGUCGUUUUAGACGCCGGUUGUCAGAACAAGGACGUUCAUUGUGAAGAAGGGAAAAUUUCAGUAAAGAUAGGCGUUUAUUUAGUGCGGGGCCCAGGCUGUGAGAAAAAGUGCCCCUCCCGGCCCCAAUUCAAACUAAAAAAACUGGAAUUAGAUAGUUUAUCAAUCCAAAGGGCAUUUUUGCAAUUUUGCAAUUAUCACAAAAUGCAAGGGUAGAUUUGCUAUUAUCAAGAAUUGAGGGGUAUUCUUGAUAUUUCGGGAAAUUUCAGGGGAAUGUGAUAUUUUUCCAUCAUAUUAUUUCUUUUCGGUUUCUGACACACUCUUCCUAUACUUUCGAUAUGUUAUGCUGAUGUGCGUAACCUCUAUAGUGGGUGCCUUGAGCCUAGAUUGAAGAAGCCGAGGCCGUCGCUCAUCCAACAGAUUCCUGGAUUCGUCCUCCGUCAUUGUUGGUGCCUCCGCCAAGUCUUGGGAGGUGUCGGAUGGCCUGCUCAUUAGCUCCUCCAUUCCAGGUGUCGUAAGAAGAGAUUGCAAAUCGGUUCUGCUAUCGGAGUCAAAGGUGAGUGGUUAUCGGGUGUUGUGUGGCUUUGACCGUUAUGUCAAUUGUUUCGAUGUUGCCGUUAGUAGCUCUAGCUUAGUUGUCUAUGUCUUGUGUAACUUCGGCGAAUAGCUGUUCAAUAGCGCCUUCUACAUCUAUGUCGAGAUCAAUGUUGAUUUCUUCAGAGUGAUGAGAGUCACGGUUUUGUUUGGGAGAUGGAUGAAUUGGGAUGUUGAAUUGGCUAGGUGGGCUAUGGAUUGCAAGCCUGAGGGGCAGGAAGGCCUCAGGUAGAGUUAAUUUCUACUUCGGCUCACCUUCCCUUGCUAUAGAAAAAAUGCCCCAUGUAGUCUAGAUUCUGUUAAGAAGAAGCUUCAGAUCGAGCACCUUGUCAAAGGAGCGUUUCAGACAAUAUAUAUAUCCUGCCAUGCUUCUAUGCUGAUUUGAGUGGUUGCUUUCCAUGAAUUGUAUAGUACUUUGCCAAGGUUGAAGGAAGUGUUAUUUAGUUCUUGGUUACAUUUAUCUACCCAUAUGUUCCAUACCAAUGUGCCCCAGAGGAUCUCCCAUGCGGUGUUGUCAGUCCAAGAUGUUGCGGUUUCAAUAGUAUUUGUCCAAGCUAAUGAUGUUCCAUGAGCGUCAUAGGUCUGUUGAGUUAGCGGAGGCACGUAGUUGGCUAAAUUGCAUCCAGGCUUUGGAGACUAUCGGACAUCUGAAGAGGGCAUGUUUAAGGGAUUUGAUCACGGUGUCAUUGCAGAGUUGGCAGGAACUAUCUCGGCUCACUUUUUGUUUCCAGUCACCAAUUGAUAAGCCUCCCGCCCACAUGAGCCAAUGCAUUGCUGAGAUUUUCUUUGGUAGCCAUGGGUGCAAGUCUCUAGAUUAGCAGUUUGCAUUAUUUCAGGCUAAAGCCUACAUUAGCCAUGUUCUUAAUCUCGGACAGAAUUGCAGAGCUGUAGCCUCUUUUGCUUGUAUAUUUAAAGAAUUUUGCUUGUUUGUGAGUUCCUCUCUAGCUUCACUCCCAGUCCUUUGGGUCUCAAGGUAGUCGGAUGAUGGGUGUUUUUCCAAAGAUCCAGUCUCUCUUUGAAUCCGAUAGUUCCUGUAGAGGGUUAUAGUGAGUAACUUAAUUAUCCAUAGUAAUAAGAAUUCAAACUUGCUCCAGGGGGCCGGUAGGGAUAGAUUCCUUGCCGAGUCUUAUGAGUUGUUUGGAUGGUUCCACUCUGUAUUUAAUGCUGAGGUGGAAUAUGAGGUUGAUUUGAAUUAUUAGA